Long non-coding RNA from Aegilops tauschii subsp. strangulata, 1074 nucleotides. RefSeq lists it as uncharacterized. The record is from RefSeq and is a predicted model, not a curated record. NCBI's taxonomy places the organism in Eukaryota, Viridiplantae, Streptophyta, Magnoliopsida, Poales, Poaceae.
GCAGCCGCCGCCACCUCCUCCCCAUCCCCGCUCCAGUCCUCUCCCCGCUCCAGUCCUCCCCCCGCCUCUCCCGCCCACCGCCGACCUCGCAGUCGUCCUCACCCACCGCCGCCGACCUCGUCCCUCCCUCCCCUCACCAUCUCUCCCUACCCUAUGCCCCAGAUCGAGUCGAGCAGGUCGGCCGACGGUCUAGGGUUCCGUCCCUCCACCCCUGCCGUCGCUGCGAUCGCCCCGGCACUCCCCGCUCCGCCCCCACCCGACCCCUAACACACUGGUGCUCUCCCCCCGCUCGUGGCCAUGGCGGAGAAGCCGAGGGUUUAGGGUUCCGGCGAGAUGUCGACGGCGAAUCCCCGCCCCGCGGCCAAUCGCGGCGCUCCCGCCCCCUCCCCCGCGCAGCCCGCGGCCGCCUCUGACGCCCCGGCCGCCGCGGCCGCGAAGACCGCCAUGCAGCUGCGCAAGCCCGUCUUCACCACCAUCGAGGCGGCUCCCGCUUCCGCUUCGGGCCAGCAGCCCCCUCGAGGCGGCUCCUCUCCUCUCCUCCCCACGCCCGCCUCGCCCUAAGGUCGCCGCUGGAGAUGAGCAGCACCUGCUUGGAGUCGCUGAUGCCCAUGCACAGCGUGAUGGCUUCAGGGCUCAUGACGUUGCUCCUCGCCGCCCUGGCUCGCGUUGGUUCCUGCUGGAUCUCCGAAGAGGAGUGCCACUGAUCUGAUACUGCGGGAUCUGCAAAAUAACCCUGACAUGUGGCUGCAAGUGGUGCACAUCCUGCAGAACUCCCAGAACCUCAACACCUAGUUCUUUGCCCUUCAAGAUCAGGAAACAACAAAGCUGCUGAAGCUUCAGCUGAUGCGGAUGAAGGUGAAGUACGAAGACAAGUGUGAAGCCGUGAAGCCUAUCAGCAAGAGUAGGAUAUUAUGUAUUGUAAUAUUAGGCAGAGUGUAAAGAUUGUAAUAGACUAAUUUAGUGUUGUUUUGAAUGAAUUUCAUUUGCUCUCUACUUUGUUUGAAAUAUUGAUUGUGUAUAUAAUUCCAAUACCUGUGAAAUGGAAACGUGACCAAGGGGACCCACAUAUGAAAA